This 159-nucleotide ribosomal RNA is filed under the name Ketobacter sp. RNAcentral's name for it is "partial 16S ribosomal RNA". It matches the Rfam family "Bacterial small subunit ribosomal RNA", at positions 1380 to 1533 of the family's 1533-position model. Lineage: Bacteria; Pseudomonadati; Pseudomonadota; Gammaproteobacteria; Pseudomonadales; Ketobacteraceae. The record is from RNAcentral.
CUUGUACACACCGCCCGUCACACCAUGGGAGUGGGCUGCAAAAGAAGUGGGUAGUUUAACCUUCGGGAGGACGCUCACCACUUUGUGGUUCAUGACUGGGGUGAAGUCAUAACAAGGUAGCCCUAGGGGAACCUGGGGCUGGAUCACCUCCUUAAACGA